Molecule: ribosomal RNA, 202 nt
Filed under: uncultured Lactobacillus sp.
Lineage: Bacteria; Bacillati; Bacillota; Bacilli; Lactobacillales; Lactobacillaceae
Description: partial 16S ribosomal RNA
Rfam family: Bacterial small subunit ribosomal RNA
Source: RNAcentral
UGCUAAUACCGGAUAAGAAAGCGGAUCGCAUGAUCAGCUUUUAAAAGGCGGCGUAAGCUGUCGCUAUGGGAUGGCCCCGCGGUGCAUUAGCUAGUUGGUAAGGUAAAGGCUUACCAAGGCGAUGAUGCAUAGCCGAGUUGAGAGACUGAUCGGCCACAUUGGGACUGAGACACGGCCCAAACUCCUACGGGAGGCAGCAGGG